CUUGAAUAAAAGUAGUUAAGUUCUCCAUAACUCAAAGAAUUUGGCAGUUAAUAAAAUUUUCAGAGGAACCUGUAUAUUAAUUGAUAAACCACGAUAAUUUAUACCUCUAUUAAAAUUUAUAUAUCUCUAUAUUUAUGAAUGUUUUAAAAGAAUAUAUUUUCUUUUAGGUAAGUCUUUAAUUUUAGGUCAAGGUGUAGUUUUAUAGGGGUUUAUAUGGGUUACUUUAUUAUUUAUUAGCUAUAAAAUUCUUAGAAUAUUUUAAGGAUUUGAAAGUAAUUUUAAUUAAUUAAUUAAGGUGAAUUUUU
RNAcentral lists this ribosomal RNA (305 nucleotides) under Erechtia sp. CPL-2004a. RNAcentral's name for it is "partial 12S small subunit ribosomal RNA". Lineage: Eukaryota; Metazoa; Arthropoda; Insecta; Hemiptera; Membracidae. The record is from RNAcentral.